AGUCGAGCGAGCGGAACUAACAGAUUUACUUCGGUAAUGACGUUAGGAAAGCGAGCGGCGGAUGGGUGAGUAACACGUGGGGAACCUGCCCCAUAGUCUGGGAUACCACUUGGAAACAGGUGCUAAUACCGGAUAAGAAAGCAGAUCGCAUGAUCAGCUUUUAAAAGGCGGCGUAAGCUGUCGCUAUGGGAUGGCCCCGCGGUGCAUUAGCUAGUUGGUAAGGUAAAGGCUUACCAAGGCGAUGAUGCAUAGCCGAGUUGAGAGACUGAUCGGCCACAUUGGGACUGAGACACGGCCCAAACUCCUACGGGAGGCAGCAGUAGGGAAUCUUCCACAAUGGACGCAAGUCUGAUGGAGCAACGCCGCGUGAGUGAAGAAGGUUUUCGGAUCGUAAAGCUCUGUUGUUGGUGAAGAAGGAUAGAGGUAGUAACUGGCCUUUAUUUGACGGUAAUCAACCAGAAAGUCACGGCUAACUACGUGCCAGCAGCCGCGGUAAUACGUAGGUGGCAAGCGUUGUCCGGAUUUAUUGGGCGUAAAGCGAGCGCAGGCGGAAGAAUAAGUCUGAUGUGAAAGCCCUCGGCUUAACCGAGGAACUGCAUCGGAAACUGUUUUUCUUGAGUGCAGAAGAGGAGAGUGGAACUCCAUGUGUAGCGGUGGAAUGCGUAGAUAUAUGGAAGAACACCAGUGGCGAAGGCGGCUCUCUGGUCUGCAACUGACGCUGAGGCUCGAAAGCAUGGGUAGUGAACAGGAUUAGAUACCCUGGUAGUCCAUGCCGUANACGAUGAGUGCUAAGUGUUGGGAGGUUUCCGCCUCUCAGUGCUGCAGCUAACGCAUUAAGCACUCCGCCUGGG
Molecule: ribosomal RNA, 851 nt
Filed under: uncultured bacterium
Lineage: Bacteria
Description: bacterial SSU rRNA
Rfam family: Bacterial small subunit ribosomal RNA
Source: RNAcentral